Molecule: ribosomal RNA, 563 nt
Filed under: Streptomyces sp. 322A03
Lineage: Bacteria; Bacillati; Actinomycetota; Actinomycetes; Kitasatosporales; Streptomycetaceae
Description: bacterial SSU rRNA
Rfam family: Bacterial small subunit ribosomal RNA
Source: RNAcentral
UAGUGGCGAACGGGUGAGUAACACGUGGGCAAUCUGCCCUUCACUCUGGGACAAGCCCUGGAAACGGGGUCUAAUACCGGAUAAUACUUUCUCCUGCAUGGGGGAGGGUUGAAAGCUCCGGCGGUGAAGGAUGAGCCCGCGGCCUAUCAGCUUGUUGGUGGGGUGAUGGCCUACCAAGGCGACGACGGGUAGCCGGCCUGAGAGGGCGACCGGCCACACUGGGACUGAGACACGGCCCAGACUCCUACGGGAGGCAGCAGUGGGGAAUAUUGCACAAUGGGCGGAAGCCUGAUGCAGCGACGCCGCGUGAGGGAUGACGGCCUUCGGGUUGUAAACCUCUUUCAGCAGGGAAGAAGCGUGAGUGACGGUACCUGCAGAAGAAGCGCCGGCUAACUACGUGCCAGCAGCCGCGGUAAUACGUAGGGCGCAAGCGUUGUCCGGAAUUAUUGGNCGUAAAGAGCUCGUAGGCGGCUUGUCGCGUCGGAUGUGAAAGCCCGGGGCUUAACCCCGGGUCUGCAUUCGAUACGGGCAGGCUAGAGUGUGGUAGGGGAGAUCGNAUUCCU